UACGAAGGGGGCUGGCGUUGCUCGGAAUUACUGGGCGUAAAGGGCGCGUAGGCAGGUUGUUAAGUUAGAGGUGAAAGCCCAGGGCUCAACCCUGGAACUGCCUUUAAUACUGGCAUCCUAGAGUAUGACAGAGGUGUGUGGAACUCCGAGUGUAGAGGUGAAAUUCGUAGAUAUUCGGAAGAACACCAGUGGCGAAGGCGACACACUGGGUCAUUACUGACGCUGAGGCGCGAAAGCGUGGGGAGCAAACAGG
RNAcentral lists this ribosomal RNA (253 nucleotides) under uncultured bacterium. RNAcentral describes it as "partial 16S ribosomal RNA". It matches the Rfam family "Bacterial small subunit ribosomal RNA", at positions 524 to 776 of the family's 1533-position model. The record is from RNAcentral.